UGAAGAUGCAGUGUACCCGCGGCAAGACGGAAAGACCCCGUGAACCUUUACUAUAGCUUGACACUGAACAUUGAGCCUUGAUGUGUAGGAUAGGUGGGAGGCUUUGAAGUGUGGACGCCAGUCUGCAUGGAGCCGACCUUGAAAUACCACCCUUUAAUGUUUGAUGUUCUAACGUGGACCCGUAAUCCGGGUUGCGGACAGUGUCUGGUGGGUAGUUUGACUGGGGCGGUCUCCUCCUAAAGAGUAACGGAGGAGCACGAAGGUUGGCUAAUCCUGGUCGGACAUCAGGAGGUUAGUGCAAUGGCAUAAGCCAGCUUGACUGCGAGCGUGACGGCGCGAGCAGGUGCGAAAGCAGGUCAUAGUGAUCCGGUGGUUCUGAAUGGAAGGGCCAUCGCUCAACGGAUAAAAGGUACUCCGGGGAUAACAGGCUGAUACCGCCCAAGAGUUCAUAUCGACGGCGGUGUUUGGCACCUCGAUGUCGGCUCAUCACAUCCUGGGGCUGAAGUAGGUCCCAAGGGUAUGGCUGUUCGCCAUUUAAAGUGGUACGCGAGCUGGGUUUAGAACGUCGUGAGACAGUUCGGUCCCUAUCUGCCGUGGGCGCUGGAGAACUGAGGGGGGCUGCUCCUAGUACGAGAGGACCGGAGUGGACGCAUCACUGGUGUUCGGGUUGUCAUGCCAAUGGCACUGCCCGGUAGCUAAAUGCGGAAGAGAUAAGUGCUGAAAGCAUCUAAGCACGAAACUUGCCCCGA
This 749-nucleotide ribosomal RNA is filed under the name Salmonella enterica. RNAcentral describes it as "partial 23S ribosomal RNA". It matches the Rfam family "Bacterial large subunit ribosomal RNA", at positions 2054 to 2802 of the family's 2925-position model. Lineage: Bacteria; Pseudomonadati; Pseudomonadota; Gammaproteobacteria; Enterobacterales; Enterobacteriaceae. The record is from RNAcentral. RNAcentral also lists the same sequence under 1 other name.